AUGCCGCCCGCAUCCAACUCGCCCUCCACCGCCCCGCCGCCUCCCUCCACCCCGGCGGCCACCAAGCCGCGCCCGCGCCACCCCCUGGGGCUGGACUCCCUCGCCUCCACCAGCCGGCCCCUCUUCGCCGCGGCCCGCCGGUCCCCGGUCGCCACGCUCGCCUGCGCCAUCACCCUCCUCGCGCUCAUCAUGUACGGCGAGGACGCGCGCACCAUCGCGGAGCUCUCCAUCGACGACUACCUCUACCCGGACGCCGACAUCUACAACGUCUCCGGCCUUCCCCCCAUCAAGCUGCCCCCGCCCACCUGCGACCUCGCCCACGGCCGCUGGGUCUUCGACAACGAAUCCCUCCCCCUCUACCGGGAGAAAGAGUGCAACUUCCUCACCAAGCAGCUCACCUGCCUCGCCAACGGCCGCAACGACGAUUUAUGGCAGUACUGGCAAUGGCAGCCCAACAACUGCUCCCUCCCCACAUGGUUGGUUGGUGAAUCGUGGAUGGAUUCGAUCAGGUUCGACGCCAGGAGGUUCAUGGAGAGGAUGAGGGGGAAGCGGCUCAUGUUCGUGGGGGACUCGCUCAACAGGAACCAGUUUUACUCGCUGGUGUGCAUGGUGCAGUCCAUCUUGAGCAAGGGGAGGAAGAAGGUGGUCAAACGGGGAUCAAACACCAUCUUCCACGCCAAGGAGUACCGCGCCACGCUCGAGUUCUACUGGGCGCCAUUCCUUGUCGAGUCCAACUCUGACGACCCAAAUAUCCACAGCAUCGAGCACCGGAUCAUACGGCCCGAGAGGAUCGAGGGACACGCCCAGUAUUGGAGGGGUGUGGACUACCUCAUCUUCGACACCUACAUCUGGUGGAUGAACACCGCCGACAUCAAAGUUCGGAGGCCAGAUUCAAGGUCUUGGUCCGAGCACGACGAGGUGCCGAGGAUCGAGGCAUAUGGCCGGGUGCUCAAAACGUGGUCGGACUGGCUGAAUGAGAAUAUCGAUCCGGCGCGGACAUCCGUCUUCUUCAUGACAAUUUCUCCUAUUCACAUCAGCCCAGAUAAAUGGGGAAACCCCCACGGGAUCAAAUGCGCGAAGGAGACGCUCCCGGUGCUCAACUACACGGAGCCCCUGGACCUCAACCACGACAUGCGCUUGUACGACAUGGUGGCGAGCACGGCCAGGUCCAUGAAGAAAGUGCCGGUCACGCUCAUCGACAUCACCAGGAUGUCGGACUACCGGAAGGACGCCCACACGUCCGUCUACUCCGUCCGGCGGGGCUACCUGCUGACCCCGAAGCAGAAGAACGACCCUGAGAAGUUUGCCGACUGCAUCCACUGGUGCCUUCCCGGCGUGCCCGACGUCUGGAACACCGUGCUCUACACGAGGAUCUUCUCGAAAUCGCCCCCUUCUUCGCCGCCGGCUCUCGCCCUCCCGCCUCCCCAGUGA
This 1431-nucleotide ribosomal RNA is filed under the name Triticum aestivum (bread wheat). RNAcentral's name for it is "partial small subunit ribosomal RNA". Lineage: Eukaryota; Viridiplantae; Streptophyta; Magnoliopsida; Poales; Poaceae. The record is from RNAcentral.